Molecule: long non-coding RNA, 1062 nt
Organism: Ictalurus punctatus (channel catfish)
Lineage: Eukaryota; Metazoa; Chordata; Actinopteri; Siluriformes; Ictaluridae
Source: Ensembl
GUGCAUGUCAGUUACAGUGAAGGAGGCGUGGCCUCUGUGUCUGUGCUUGUCAGUCACAGUGAAGGAGGCGUGUCCUCUGUCUGUGUUUAUGUCACAGUGAAGGAGGCGUGGCCUCUGUGCCUGAGCAUGUCAGUCACAGUGAAGGAGGCGUGGCCUCUGUGCCUGAGCAUGUCAGUCACAGUGAAGGAGGCGUGGCCUCUGUGCCUGUGUUUGUUAGUCACAGUGAAGGAGGUGUGGCCUCUGUGCCUGUGCAUGUCAGUUACAGUGAAGGAGGCGUGGCCUCUGUGUCUGUGCUUGUCAGUCACAGUGAAGGAGGCGUGUCCUCUGUCUGUGUUUAUGUCACAGCGAAGGAGGCGUGGCCUCUGUGCCUGAGCAUGUCAGUCACAGUGAAGGAGGCGUGGCCUCUGUGCCUGUGUUUGUUAGUCACAGUGAAGGAGGUGUGGCCUCUGUGUCUGUGCAUGUCAGUUACAGUGAAGGAGGCGUGGCCUCUGUGUCUGUGCUCGUCAGUCACAGUGAAGGAGGCGUGGCCUCUGUGUCUGUGCUUGUCAGUCACAGUGAAGGAGGCGUAUCCUCUGUGCCUGUGUUUGUCAGUCACAGUGAAGGAGGCGUGGCCUCUGUGCCUGUGUUUGUCAGUCACAGUGAAGGAGGCGUGGCCUCUGUGCCUGUGUUUGUCAGUCACAGUGAAGGAGGUGUGGCCUCUGUGCCUGUAUAGCUGCCUAGGGAGUCUUGUUAGAGCAGAUUCGAUGUGUUCUAGUGUUCGAGACAGAGCUGCUUCUCUCUGCUGGUUUGUGAUGUGGCGUUUCUUCAUCCUGACUGAUCACACCUGAAUACGAGAGCAGCUGGAAUGAGUUUAAUGAGGAGUGAAGGACAAGAGUUCCCGUUUAGAAUCAGAAACACGAGGGAGAAGACUGAAAAGAGACUGUCCUCACACGCUCGCUCUCUCUUUUGUAAUCUCCUAGCAGCACCAGCGCUCUGACUGCAUUGCUGCUGAAGCACUAACGCGCUGUUUGUGAUGGAAAAAGACAAAUAAGUACUCGGCCUUUUGUCAUUGAGGGUAAAAAC